This 80-nucleotide transfer RNA is filed under the name Malawimonas californiana (nom. ined.). RNAcentral describes it as "Malawimonas californiana tRNA-Leu". It matches the Rfam family "tRNA". From Rfam's summary of the family: Transfer RNA (tRNA) molecules are approximately 80 nucleotides in length. Lineage: Eukaryota; Malawimonada; Malawimonadea; Malawimonadida; Malawimonadidae. The record is from RNAcentral.
GCGAGUAUGAUGAAAUUGGUAGCCAUGUGAGAUUUAGAAUCUCAUGAGUAUUCGUGAGGGUUCAAGUCCCUCUACUCGCA